GAGUUUGAUCCUGGCUCAGGAUGAACGCUGGCGGCGUGCUUAACACAUGCAAGUCGAACGGGAAUUACUUUAUUGAAACUUCGGUCGAUUUAAUUUAAUUCUAGUGGCGGACGGGUGAGUAACGCGUGGGUAACCUGCCUUAUACAGGGGGAUAACAGUCAGAAAUGACUGCUAAUACCGCAUAAGCGCACAGAGCUGCAUGGCUCGGUGUGAAAAACUCCGGUGGUAUGAGGUGGACCCGCGUCUGAUUAGGUAGUUGGUGAGGUAACGGCUCACCAAGCCGACGAUCAGUAGCCGACCUGAGAGGGUGACCGGCCACAUUGGGACUGAGACACGGCCCAGACUCCUACGGGAGGCAGCAGUGGGGAAUAUUGCACAAUGGGCGAAAGCCUGAUGCAGCGACGCCGCGUGAAGGAUGAAGUAUUUCGGUAUGUAAACUUCUAUCAGCAGGGAAGAAAAUGACGGUACCUGACUAAGAAGCCCCGGCUAACUACGUGCCAGCCGCCGCGGUAAUUC
Molecule: ribosomal RNA, 516 nt
Filed under: uncultured bacterium
Lineage: Bacteria
Description: bacterial SSU rRNA
Rfam family: Bacterial small subunit ribosomal RNA
Source: RNAcentral